UGGGGAAUUUUGGACAAUGGGGGAAACCCUGAUCCAGCCAUCCCGCGUGUGCGAUGAAGGCCUUCGGGUUGUAAAGCACUUUUGGCAGGAAAGAAACGUCGCGGGUUAAUACCCCGCGAAACUGACGGUACCUGCAGAAUAAGCACCGGCUAACUACGUGCCAGCAGCCGCGGUAGUACGUAGGGUGCAAGCGUUAAUCGGAAUUACUGGGCGUAAAGCGUGCGCAGGCGGUUCGGAAAGAAAGAUGUGAAAUCCCAGAGCUUAACUUUGGAACUGCAUUUUUAACUACCGGGCUAGAGUGUGUCAGAGGGAGGUGGAAUUCCGCGUGUAGCAGUGAAAUGCGUAGAUAUGCGGAGGAACACCGAUGGCGAAGGCAGCCUCCUGGGAUAACACUGACGCUCAUGCACGAAAGCGUGGGGAGCAAACAGGAUUAGAUACCCGUGGUAGUCCACGCCCUAAACGAUGCUCAACUAGCUGUUGGGGCCUUCGGGCCUUGGUAGCGCAGCUAACGCGUGAAGUUGACCGCCUGGGGAGUACGGUCGC
RNAcentral lists this ribosomal RNA (543 nucleotides) under uncultured bacterium. Its description in RNAcentral is "partial 16S ribosomal RNA". It matches the Rfam family "Bacterial small subunit ribosomal RNA", at positions 355 to 889 of the family's 1533-position model. The record is from RNAcentral.